This 507-nucleotide ribosomal RNA is filed under the name uncultured bacterium. Its description in RNAcentral is "bacterial SSU rRNA". It matches the Rfam family "Bacterial small subunit ribosomal RNA", at positions 17 to 518 of the family's 1533-position model. The record is from RNAcentral.
UCCUGGCUCAGGAUGAACGCUAGCGGCAGGCUUAACACAUGCAAGUCGAGGGGCAUCGGGAGUAGCAAUACUUGCCGGCGACCGGCGCAAGGGUGCGUAACGCGUGAGCAACAUGCCCGUAUCAGGGGGAUAAUCCAUGGAAACGUGGUCUAAUACCCCAUAGUAAUUAUGUAAGGCAUCUUAUAUAAUUUAAAGCUUUGGUGGAUACGGAUUGGCUCGCGUGGCAUUAGCUGGAUGGUAAGGUAACGGCUUACCAUGGCUACGAUGUCUAGGGGUUCUGAGAGGAAGGUCCCCCACACUGGAACUGAGACACGGUCCAGACUCCUACGGGAGGCAGCAGUGAGGAAUAUUGGACAAUGGAUGGAAAUCUGAUCCAGCCAUGCCGCGUGCAAGGAAGACGGCCCUAUGGGUUGUAAACUGCUUUUGUAUGGGAGCAAUAAGGGCUACGUGUAGUCCGAUGAGAGUACCAUACGAAUAAGCACCGGCUAACUCCGUGCCAGCAGCCGC